Molecule: long non-coding RNA, 3771 nt
Organism: Parus major (Great Tit)
Lineage: Eukaryota; Metazoa; Chordata; Aves; Passeriformes; Paridae
Exons: 2
Source: RefSeq, a predicted model, not a curated record
UCUAAGCCCACGUAAUGUACUCCUUAGUGAGAAGAAGAAAGUUUAGAGGUUGUUUCUGGCAGUCUGCUACUGCUUAGAGCAAAAGGAAUGCUCUGGUGGAUGCCUGUGUCCCGGGAAGCCUCUGGCAGAUCCCAAGGGCCCCUGCUGCCCUGUCAGCCCCGGGGGCAGCUCUCUGUACACAGCACAUCGCUACCUGCAGCCCUGCCCCAGCUGUUCCCAUUCCUCAGGGGCACUUCUGAAGCUGCCUCUUGUUCAGGCAGAGAGAGCUUAACUGAUCUUGGCUAUUUAGGGGAGCUUCGUCUCCAGCUGAGCCUCUCAGUAACUCCUAGGGAAUGGUGGUGUCUCCUUACAGUUUUCCAGGAUGAAGAGGCCACCAGGAGCAGAGAGCUUGAGAUAGAAAUGAUAAGGCUGGGCACUCUGGAUCCCUGCUGGCUUGUGCUACUCCAUCAGCAGACUAGCAGAGAUUCAUUUGCACUUCCCCAAUGUCUCCUCAUCUUUCCUUCUAGCUGAGUGGUGUUCCCCAAAUGGUCUGUGGAUCUCUGUAGGAUGUGCUGCUUUUGUAAAUCUUUUAUAUGGUAAAAGUGCACUGAGAAACCAGACCUACUGUUUAAUGAGCCUAGAGAUAACGCCCCAGGUCUGCACAGAUAUUGGAAAGAUUUUAGGGGGCUGUAAAAUGUAAAAUUACCCAAUUCAGGGGUCUGAAAAUAAACCAGUAUCCUGCUUUCAAUAUAUAUAUAUAUAUAUCACUGCUGAAGCUGUCAUGGACCAAGGCUGAUGAUUUUGCUCUGUGGUGAUUGUGGAGUGAUUUCCUGGCUUUAGCAGAGAUACUUUUGUGAGGCGCUGCCUGGGCCUGAAGUCUGCUUUCUCCUGCAGCCACCAGCAAUGAAAUGGAGUCUGUCCAUGUGUGGGAUGGUAAAAUCUGCAGGGGAGUGUUAUGUUUUCCACAUUUUCAAAAGUACUUUCAACCCAUCCAAAGAGUUUACAGAAAUAACCUGCUGCAAAAUGUAAAAAAAGCAGCAAGCAUUUGUAUUGUGUGGAGAAAUUAAACUUACUGCAGGGCUAGACCAUAGAGUUCUUACUCUCCUGCUUGGGUAGUGACAUUUCUGAAGCACCAUGGGCCAGUAAGGGCUGAGGGCUGGGUGUGCUGUGGCCCUGCAUGGACAGCACAGUGCUGGGAGGUCUGGGCAGUGAGGAGCAGGGGAGCAGCAGAACUGAGCUCUUCCUGACUAACUGCAGAACCUCCAAGAAGUUCACACAAACAAUCAAGUGAGAGCCGAGGUUGCUUUAUGCUCAUGAAACAUUGCUUUGAUGGUUUCAGUUCUGUAGGCCUAUAUAUAAAACAAACACAAUGGGUAUCUAGCAGCUAAUUCUAGCCACAGAUAGAAAAAUUAGCACACCUCAAUUGUUAAUUGCUUGAAAGUAUGAGCUGCUUCUGAUGUAAAUAUGAGCAUGUGGCUUGCUCUGCAGAGACUAGCCACAAAAUCUUCAUUUUUAGUUACAUUUAGCUAAAGCAGACAAAAAUAAAAUCCGCAGAGGCAAAGAUGCAUCAGAAAUUCACUGGAACUACACUGAAGUUGUACCCUGCAUAAAUAGCCUCAGCAAACAGUAAUUAACACAGCCAGCAUGUUUCAUCGUAUUGUUAAAGGGAGUAGAAACAGAGAUAAUCCCUUCUGAAUUGUAAUGCAGUGCCAUACAUAAUGAUAAGGUUUUCUUUCUUUGGACAGCUAGUUUUGUUUUCCAUGAUGGAAUGUCUUCAGAGAGUUUAAAUGAACUGUUUGCAAUGAAACUGGAUGUUUCCUGCAGCAUGUGAUAAUCAUUACCAAAUGAGAUUUUAAUUAAUAAUUGAAUAAAUCCUUAGUGAGAUUCUGAAAUAGGAGGCAUGCUCUACAUCUGCAGGAUGCCAGGAGAUCUGUGAAAAUACUGAGCUGUUUCUGUUUAGGAAGCUGAGAAGUCGCCCUUGAAUCCAGACCAGUGAUGGUGGACUGAGUUCUCUUAAGCCUACCCUUAGUGCACAGGUCUGGAAUUUCUCAGCUAUCCUAAAGCAGAAAUGUAAAUUCAGUGCAGCUUUGGUAAGCAGAACACUAUUCUCUAUCAGCAGCUGAUUUCUGUUCCAUCCUUGAUAAGAUUAAAUAUAAAGCAGGAAAAAACCAAACCCAAACCUAUCAGAGGCUUUAUCCUGUCUCCUCCCACUCACCUUGGAGGAGCUUAUCUAGUGUUUUACUAUGCUGGAGAUUUCCUCAGCAAUCAGAAUCAGACCCCUGACUUUCAACAAGUUGUCUUGAAGCUGCUGUACACUACAACACUGUCCAAACCACCUACCAGAGGACCCCAGGUGUCAAGAAUAAAGGCCCAAGAGAAACUCUGUAUGAAAAGAAAUGUGCUGCAAUGAAGCAAACCCAAAAUCUAAAUCUUUGUACUUCAUUUUUCUUCAAUAUAGAAAAAAAAUCAAUUUAUGCAGCCCAAAUCUGGGUGUGAAAUCAACUUUUCUAUUAAAAUACAUGGUUCAGUCUGUGAGUACCUGAGGUAAAAGGCACCAGGCCUCCAGGAGAUGGAAAUGAAAGGACAUCAUAUGUUUAGAGAGGAACAUUUUACUGUGUUCAGUCUAUAAUGUUGUGUGACUGCAUCAAGUCUCAUCUUGAAAUCAGCUCAGUGACUUGUCUUCACUUUUCUAGUUGGAAGCAGCUCCAAACCUCCCUGCUCUUGUACCAGGAAGCUUUCUGGGGGACCUCUGCUCUUUUUUUGCUCAAUAGCCUUACUGACCUGAGGGUACCCUGUGAGUUCAUUCACUCUGGAAAUCCCAGAUUUCCUGCUCUGCCACCUUCUUCUGCAAAUUCACCUUAGGUGAGCACAGAUGGCCGUGGUUAUGUAAAACUCUAGGUGAGGUCUCACUAGUGUUUUGUGCAGGACCACUCGUAUAACCCUACCUGCUGUAAAUCUUGCUCCUGAGGCCCCUGUCAAUUAUCUUCCCCUUUCAAGGCCUUAGAAGGGCUCACAGUCACCCUUUGUUGACUGUUUUUGUUUCUUGCCUCUCUCUCCUGCCUGGUAUGACUUUGAUCUCUACAUUAUUCCAACUUCACAGCAUUUCUUUUUGUUGUAGCUUUUCAUGUCACCCCAUGCUUCCUCUAUAAGCUUGUCUCUGUGAAGUAUAAAAUAUUUACUGAUGGAAAAAAAAAAAAGGAAAAUAUUUUACCUUAGUCUACAUAGUCUCUGCAUCCAUUUAAAGAAUUUAGCUUUGCCGAUUUCAGCAUUAAGCAAAUACAGAAAUGCAAACCAUUCCAGGACAGAGGCCUGCACACCACCAAGUUAAUGUUUUAUUUGGCCACAUUUCCAAAUUACCAGGAAAAUGGGACAAGAAUUGCAAGCAUACACCUGUCUUCCAACUUUUCUUGUCCUUAUGAGUCAGUCUUGGUAUCGGACAAACUCGUUACUCAACGCUCUCUUCUGUUGCAGUAGCACAGUUCUGAGAAGGAAUGUGGCACAGCCUCUAGUGAUAUCACUUUUUACCUUGCAAAAAUCACAGUUGUGGUAAGUGGAAGAUUUUUUUCCCACAGUAAUGAGAAUCCAGAAAUAAGGAAGGUUGAUGGUUUACUUCCAGAAAUGCUGUAUUUUGAGGACCAAAAGCAAAUGAAAGGAAUAGAAGCACUGGAAUAUCAAUACCUUCCAGAAGAUGUUGGAGCAUCAGCACUGAAUUUUAAUUUUUUAUAAAAAUUGUAAUUGCACUCUUCUAUACAUUGGGUACAUAUAUUUAAAUAAAACAUUCUAAAUAAGGCA